Gambusia affinis (western mosquitofish) is the source of this 1448-nucleotide long non-coding RNA. RefSeq lists it as uncharacterized. The record is from RefSeq and is a predicted model, not a curated record. Lineage: Eukaryota; Metazoa; Chordata; Actinopteri; Cyprinodontiformes; Poeciliidae. The transcript has 3 exons.
CGAAGAAAUACAGAGAAGCUGCAGAUUAUAAGGAAAAUAAUCUGUUUAUCUUUUACAAGAGAAAAAAGUUCUGUUUUGAAAAUGUUCAUUCAUUUAUCAAUGUCAGUUUCAAGUUGAACAUUUAGUUGGUUUACUAGCUAAAUAUUUACUUUCACACUGAGUUUGACACUAAAUGUUUAAUUAUAAACUAACAUUUAUGAAUGAAUGAAAAUGAGGCUGAAUCAGGAUAAAUAACUGAUUAUCGCAGAUCAUUUUUUACUUUUUUAACUUUCAAACAUCAGCAGAGGUUUUUAUUAACGGAUGGUUUUUCUGUUUUGAUGAGUCUGAAUUCGGUGUUUCUGCAGAUCCUCAGGGUGACAUCAUGACCGUUUCCAUGGUUCUGGCUCCGGCUCCAUCAGCUGUGAGGAACAGUUCGGCCACCUGGACGCCGCCAUCACUGCACAGCGUCACAUGACCGACUGUCAGCUGCUUCACAUUCUGAUGCUAACCGCUAACUGAGGCUUCCUGUGGUCAAACCUCCAUUGAAGCAGCUGGUCCAACCGGGUCUGCAGGGUUCUGGACUCUCAUGUUUCGGUUCCAACCACAGUUUGGGCUGCAGAGAGAGGAAUCCAGAAAGAGUCCAGUCAGCAGGUUUCUGGUGCCAGCUGCUACCAGGAAGUGUUUGGCUGCAGUUUCCAGCCCUGAAGUUUUUCUGAACUCCUUCCAGGAAACGGAAGGACAGUUUUUAAUUCUCCCAAACAAUCCCAGAUGUAGUACCUCGGACGGCCACUAGGUGUCAGUGUGAAACUAGCUCUGCUGUGGUUCUCUUCUUCUCGAUUUAGAGUUCUUUUCUUAUAUUUAAAUGUAUUUUGUUGAAAAUUAAAUUAAAAGUUUUUUGUUAAUAUAAUUUAAUUCUGUCUGAUUAUUUCUGCGCCUCCCUGCAGGGGGCGCCGUAGCGCCUCCAACUCCUCAUCCUCUUCACCUUCAUCCCUCUGAUUUCUGGUUUUAGCAGUUAAAUGUGGACGGCUCUUUAUGAGGCCGUCUCUCUGCUCCUCUUCCUCAGAUCUCGUCUCUUCUACUGGAUUUUUCUUUGGCUUCUUUUGUGACGCUACAUUUGACCGUUUUCUUGUCUUUUCUCCUUUUCUCUGUUUUUUAUGCUCAGCCUCUUGUUUCCUCAGUGUUCAUGUAAAAUAUCGUCUUUAUUUUUCCUUUUCUGUCUUCAUAUCUUCUUUGUCCAUCUCAUCUUUUCCUGCAUGUUUUUAAUUUAUCCUCCUUAAUCUCUCUUUGAUUCUCCAUCUUGUAAUUUAAUUUCAGCUUCCUGAUGCCUCUUGCUUUAUUAUUACUUUAAACUACGGUGGCCAGCAAGGCGAAAAUGCUUCGCAAACGUCAAAACUCCAAAACGCACAAAAACAAAUCGAAGAGGAAAAUGUUCGCCACUAGGGGGCGUAACAGCAGGAAGUGCAGGAGAG